Molecule: ribosomal RNA, 208 nt
Filed under: uncultured bacterium
Lineage: Bacteria
Description: partial 16S ribosomal RNA
Rfam family: Bacterial small subunit ribosomal RNA
Source: RNAcentral
UACGUAGGGUGCGAGCGUUGUCCGGAAUUACUGGGCGUAAAGAGCUCGUAGGCGGUUUGUCGCGUCUGCUGUGAAAACUGGAGGCUUAACCUCCAGACGUCGGUGGAAACCGUAUGACUAGAGUCCGGAAGAGGAGAGUGGAAUCCUGGUGUAGCGGUGAAAUGCGCAGAUAUCAGGAAGAACACCCGUGGCGAAGGCGGCUCUCUGG